CAUCCAUGAUGAAAGAUGAUGUUCGAAAGGUAUUCGGAUUCAAGAAUUCUGAAUUCAAGCCAAGAGAUAUUGCUGAGUAAUGACCAAUCAGAACCUAAAAUUCGAACCUAAAAUGAAAUAUAGUUAAACAAUAUUAUUGAAACCCCGUGUAACAAUUUUAUAACAUUGUAACACAAUGAUGAUUGGAAUGAAGGACUUAAAGAAAAUAAGGAAGUUUUUUUGUACAUGUACAUUGUAUUUGACACAGAAAGAAAGUAAAGUGUUGAUUACGAAGAAUGAUAUACAGUCGCCUAAUUGUGUCUUCCAUCUUCUGUUUCUGGUGCACUUUUUCACAGAAGGGGCCUUGUGUGGAGGAGAGGGAAGACGGAUGUUGCUCUGGAACUUCAUGGAAUAACAAUGAAAAAAGAUGUACAGAUUGUGUACCUGGAUAUUUCGGUGUAGACUGUCUGGAAACUUGUGAAUUUCCGUACUACGGCAUGCUUUGCGCAUUCUUGUGUCGAUGUAAUAAAACAAUCUGCAACUU
Saccostrea echinata is the source of this 523-nucleotide long non-coding RNA. RefSeq lists it as uncharacterized. The transcript has 3 exons. The record is from RefSeq and is a predicted model, not a curated record. Lineage: Eukaryota; Metazoa; Mollusca; Bivalvia; Ostreida; Ostreidae.